RNAcentral lists this long non-coding RNA (778 nucleotides) under Monodelphis domestica (gray short-tailed opossum). Its description in RNAcentral is "lncRNA (ENSMODG00000048061.1)". Lineage: Eukaryota; Metazoa; Chordata; Mammalia; Didelphimorphia; Didelphidae. The record is from RNAcentral.
AAUGGAUUGCCUUAUGAGAUAGUGAAUCCUGUCUUCUAUUCUGAGAUGAACCUGUCAGGCCCAUCCCCUUGUGGUUUGGGUCAAAGAUCGCAAUGAUAUGAGAUGUAGGUCUUUUAACAGUUAACUAAAGGAUUGAAUAUGGUCAAUGAGGAAAUUUGUUUUGCUUAAUUAUACAAAAAAGGAUUUCCUUUAAUUUUUUUCAUUCUCAACUGAGGACAAAUCUGGGUUGGGGUAGGAAGGAGAGAAGGUAGAUAUUUGCUCAUUAAAAAAUAAUAAAAUGUAAUUAAAAAAAUAAAGAACAAAACAAUUCAGCAACAACAGAAUGGUUAAUAAAAAGAGAUUUAUUUGACCACAGCAAGGGAAGGAUCUUCUACUGGCCAGGGAAGAAGUGUGUGGAAAGUAAAUAAGACCAACAGUUUGUGGGGGAAGGGCCCGACUGGGAGUGGCAGUUGGGUCUUGUGACUAGCACUUCCUUCCUGCCCGGAGGGGCAGUGGAGUCUGGUGACUAGUCCUUCCUUCCUGCGAGGUGGGUCUUGUGUCCUGGGGUUGGAGGAGAGUGGAGCUUGUUCAGCCCAGUCUGGAGUGGCAUGCUCUUCUUGGUUCAGCCCAAAGACACAGGCUUCUAAAGCCCUACAUGAACUACCCACAUCAUCAGCUGGGUUAAUGCCAACAUUUAAAUAUGAGCCUCCAGCAUGCAUUUAUGUAUAACCAGCAGGAAAAUUCCUUUAGUUGAUGGUACAAAAAACAGGACAUAUGAAAGGUAAGCAGAAAGAAUGAC